The submitters of this non-coding RNA (36 nucleotides) gave its source as unclassified sequences. The record is from Rfam.
CAAGAGGAAUCCGAAAAUCUUUUAAUAGAGUAGGAA